GACGAACGCUGGCGGCGUGCUUAGCACAUGCAAGUCGAACGGAAAGGCCUCUUUCGGGGGGUACUCGAGUGGCGAACGGGUGAGUAACACGUGAGUAACCUGCCCUUGACUUUGGGAUAACUUCAGGAAACUGGGGCUAAUACCGGAUAGGAGCUCCUGCUGCAUGGUGGGGGUUGGAAAGUUUCGGCGGUUGGAGAUGGACUCGCGGCUUAUCAGCUUGUUGGUGGGGUAGUGGCUUACCAAGGCUUUGACGGGUAGCCGGCCUGAGAGGGUGACCGGCCACAUUGGGACUGAGAUACGGCCCAGACUCCUACGGGAGGCAGCAGUGGGGAAUAUUGCACAAUGGGUGGAAGCCUGAUGCAGCAACGCCGUGUGCGGGAUGACGGCCUUCGGGUUGUAAACCGCUUUCGCUCAUGACGAAGCUUUGUGUGACGGUAGUGGGUAAAGAAGCACCGGCUAACUACGUG
RNAcentral lists this ribosomal RNA (467 nucleotides) under uncultured bacterium. Its description in RNAcentral is "partial 16S ribosomal RNA". It matches the Rfam family "Bacterial small subunit ribosomal RNA", at positions 28 to 507 of the family's 1533-position model. The record is from RNAcentral.